GAUGAACGCUGGCGGCGUGCCUAAUACAUGCAAGUCGAGCGACAAGACGAGGAGCUUGCUCUCCUGACGUUAGCGACGGACGGGCGAGUGAGACGUGGAUAACCAUCUACUUAGACUGGGGUAACUUCGGAAAGACGGAUACAAUACCGGAUCAUACAUUGAACCGCAUGGAGCAAUAGUUAAAGGCGGCUUUGCUGUCAGUUUUAGAUGAAUCCGCGCCGGAUUAGCUAGUUGGUAAGGUAACGGCCUACCAAGGCAACGAUGCGUAGCUGAGCUGAGAGGAUGAUCGGCCACACUGGAACUGAGACACGGUCCAGACUCCUACGGGAGGCAGCAGUAGGGAAUCUUCCGCAAUGGGCGAAAGCCUGACGCAGCAACACCGCGUGGGUGAUGAAGGUCUUCGGGUCGUAAAACCCUUUUAUUAGGGAAGAACAAAUGUGUAAGUAACUCUCGCCGUCUUGACGGUACCUAAUCAGAAAGCCACGGCUAACUACGUG
Molecule: ribosomal RNA, 497 nt
Filed under: uncultured bacterium
Lineage: Bacteria
Description: partial 16S ribosomal RNA
Rfam family: Bacterial small subunit ribosomal RNA
Source: RNAcentral